AAAAAAACAAACCUUUAAUUUCCGUGUCUAAUGUUUGACCGUCCAUCUUAUUUGAAAAAAUUAUGAAAAAAAUUAAAAAGACAAGUCACGUAUAAAAUAUUAAUCAAUGUUUUGUCAUCUAACAAUAAUAAAAAUACGAAUUAUAAAAAAUUUCAUAUAAGACAAACAGUUAAAGUUAGACACAGAAACCUAGGAUUUGCCUUUUU
Molecule: non-coding RNA, 206 nt
Organism: Oryza nivara
Lineage: Eukaryota; Viridiplantae; Streptophyta; Magnoliopsida; Poales; Poaceae
Source: Rfam